This 393-nucleotide ribosomal RNA is filed under the name uncultured bacterium. RNAcentral's name for it is "partial 16S ribosomal RNA". It matches the Rfam family "Bacterial small subunit ribosomal RNA", at positions 523 to 918 of the family's 1533-position model. The record is from RNAcentral.
AUACGGAGGAUGCAAGCGUUAUCCAGAUUUAUUGGGCGUAAAGGGUGCGUAGGCGGAUGAUUAAGCGUGAGGUGAAAUGCCACUGCUCAACAGUGGAACUGCCUCGCGAACUGGUUGUCUUGAAUGCUCCAGCCGGGGGAGGAAUGUGUGGUGUAGCGGUGAAAUGCAUAGAGAUCAGACAGAACACCGAUUGCGAAGGCAUCUCACGAAGGGGUGAUUGACGCUGAGGCACGAAAGCGUGGGGAUCAAACAGGAUUAGAUUCCCUGGUAGUGCGCACGGUAAACGAUGAUUACCCGCUGUCGGCGGCAGACAGUCGGCGGCCAAGCGAAAGCGAUAAGUAAUCCACCUGGGGAGUACGCCGGCAACGGUGAAACUCAAAUGAAUUGACGGGG